RNAcentral lists this ribosomal RNA (468 nucleotides) under uncultured bacterium. RNAcentral's name for it is "partial 16S ribosomal RNA". It matches the Rfam family "Bacterial small subunit ribosomal RNA", at positions 28 to 507 of the family's 1533-position model. The record is from RNAcentral.
GACGAACGCUGGCGGCGUGCUUAACACAUGCAAGUCGAACGGAAAGGCCCUGCUUUUGUGGGAUGCUCGAGUGGCGAAAGGGUGAGUAACACGUGAGUAACCUGCCCUUGACUUUGGGAUAACUUCAGGAAACUGGGGCUAAUACCGGAUAGGAGCUCCUGCUGCAUGGUGGGGGUUGGAAAGUUUCGGCGGUUGGGGAUGGACUCGCGGCUUAUCAGCUUGUUGGUGGGGUAGUGGCUUACCAAGGCUUUGACGGGUAGCCGGCCUGGGAGGGUGACCGGCCACAUAGGGACUGAGAUACGGCCAAGACGCCUACGGGAGGCAGCAGUGGGGAAUAUUGCACAAUGGGCGGAAGCCUGAUGCAGCAACGCCGGGUGCGGGAUGACGGCCUGCGGGUUGUAACCCGCUUUCGCCUGGGACGAAGCGUGAGUGACGGUAAUGGGUAAAGAAGCACCGGCUAACUACGUG